This is a non-coding RNA of Pelobates cultripes (western spadefoot toad), 387 nucleotides long. The record is from the annotation of a GenBank genome assembly. Lineage: Eukaryota; Metazoa; Chordata; Amphibia; Anura; Pelobatidae.
AAAAUUUUUUAUACAGAGAAUAUGUCACACUCACAAUCUAAGCCCUGAUUUCUUCUGUCUUCUGUAGACAUGCACAGGCUGAUAAGAUGCUAUUUGACUUCAAGAACAAGUGAUGACAAAUCCAUGCAGCUGAUGGUAUUGCCCACAAAACAGUCAUCAUUUUUGAUACACCAAAUCCUGAUUCAUAUCCUACUUAAAGGGGAACUAUCAAUCCCCAGGAGAUUUAAUACGUUUACAAAUCCCUACAAUUAACAAAUAUAUAUUUGUGAGGUAGGAAAAAUCCUGAAAUGGGGGCACCUCCAUCUUAGCUUUCUGUCAAUCAUUGUUCUAAACUCUGUCAUUUGCACCUGUCAAUCAGCAUAGAAAAAAAACAUACAUCGAAGAGGA